This 397-nucleotide ribosomal RNA is filed under the name uncultured bacterium. RNAcentral's name for it is "partial 16S ribosomal RNA". It matches the Rfam family "Bacterial small subunit ribosomal RNA", at positions 523 to 918 of the family's 1533-position model. The record is from RNAcentral.
AUACGUAGGGGGCGAGCGUUGUCCGGAAUGAUUGGGCGUAAAGGGCGCGUAGGCGGCCUGUUAAGUCUGGAGUGAAAGUCCUGUUUUCAAGAUGGGAAUUGCUUUGGAUACUGAUGGGCUUGAGUGCAGGAGAGGUUAUCGGAAUUCCCGGUGUAGCGGUGAAAUGCGUAGAGAUCGGGAGGAACACCAGUGGCGAAGGCGGGUAACUGGACUGCAACUGACGCUGAGGUGCGAAAGUGUGGGGAGCAAACAGGAUUAGAUACCCUGGUAGUCCACACUGUAAACGAUGAAUGCUAGGUGUAAGAGGUAUCGACCCCUUUUGUGCCGGAGUUAACACAAUAAGCAUUCCGCCUGGGGAGUACGGCCGCAAGGUUGAAACUCAAAGGAAUUGGCGGGG